AUAUAGAUGAGUUUGGUGAUGGCUCUGAAUGAAUGCUGUCCAAAUGCUUGACACAUGCUAAUCGUACGAUUAAUAUAAUGAAUAAUUUAAUUAAUAAGUGGUGUACAGGUGAGUAUAUGAUAUUUUCACUACCUUAAAGUGAGGGAUAAAAUACCACAUAAUAAUAAAGGCAAAAGCCGCUUUAGGAAGAAGAUUAAUAUCGUCGAGAGAGGUAGUAGUAAAGGUGAUGUCUUCACUAGCUUUAAAAUCUCGUAACCGUAACUGAAAGGUUGAUCGGUCACAUUGGGUCUGAAAAAAGCCCAAUGCAAAAUUAGUACAGCAGUGGGGAAUUUUGGUCAAUGGCCUAACGGCUGAACUGGCAAUUUGGGGAAACGAAACAGAAUUGUUAUCUACAGAAAUAAAGUUUUAAGUACGUAUUAAUAAUGAUAAUAUGUAUACUAGUCUUGACCAAUUACGUGCCAGCAGUCGCGGUAAUACGUAAGAGACGAGCAUUAUUCAUAUUAAAUAGGUUUAAAGGGUACCCAGACGGUCAAAAUACCUUAACUAAAAGGAGUAUUUGACUAGAGUUUUAUGUGAGAAGACCGUACUUGAGGUGGAGAGAUUAUAUUCUGUGAUACCAAGGGGACUGAUAAAGGCGAAAGCUGUCUUUUAUGUAAUAACUGACGUUGGAGGACGAAGGCAUAGAACACGAACAGGAUUUGACACCCUAGUAGUCUUUGCAGACAAUGAUGAAUGCCAUGGGCUAGUAGCGAAUCCAGCUCAGGAAUACUCAACAUUCGUUACGAAUGUUGAAAGAGUCCCACUAUAGGUACUACUAUAGGAGAGUGGAGUUUUCGCAAAAUUAGUCUAUAAAUGAAAAUGAAAGCAUUUCACCUCAAGAGUAAUGUGGCAACGCAGGAACUGAAAUCACUAGACCGUUUCUGACACCAGUAGUGAAGUAUGUUAUUUAAUUCGAUGAUCCACGAAAAACCUUACCACAACUUGAAUAUUUAGCAAUAGAUACAGGAGUUGCACGGCUGUUUUCAGUUAAUGUUGUGAAACUGUGGUUCUUCCAUGGAAUUAACGGAAUCCUUUGCUUUAUUUAUAGAAAGUUUUAUAAAGCAAUCUUUCUUUAUAGCGGAAAAGAUAAAAAGGAAAAAGACAAGUCAUCAUGGCCCUUAUGUUGUGGGCUAUAGACGUGCCACGUAGUCCUUAACAAAGAGAUGCGAAAAUGCGAAUUUUAGCUAAUCUCAAAAAAGAGGAUAUAAAUUAUACAAGGAUUGUAGUCUGAAAUUCGACUAUAUGAAUAAGUAAUUACUAGUAAUCGUGAAUCACCAUGUCACGGUGAAUUUAAUCUCGGAUUGGUACUAACCACUCGUCGCAUGCUGAAAGGAGCUUACGCAAUAAGUUUGCUAUUUUGUUAUAAUCUCUUUUAUAAAUUGGAUUAAAAUAUUAUAAUGGAAUUCUUCGUAUGCGUGACUCUGAUUAGUGUUAAGUCGAAAUAUGGUUCGUGUAGUGGAAGUUGCACGGGGUUUAUACACCUA
RNAcentral lists this ribosomal RNA (1523 nucleotides) under Colletotrichum orchidophilum. Its description in RNAcentral is "Bacterial small subunit ribosomal RNA". It matches the Rfam family "Bacterial small subunit ribosomal RNA". The record is from Rfam by way of RNAcentral. Lineage: Eukaryota; Fungi; Ascomycota; Sordariomycetes; Glomerellales; Glomerellaceae.